Molecule: long non-coding RNA, 1128 nt
Organism: Engraulis encrasicolus (European anchovy)
Lineage: Eukaryota; Metazoa; Chordata; Actinopteri; Clupeiformes; Engraulidae
Exons: 4
Source: RefSeq, a predicted model, not a curated record
CACGACUUGUCAUUUGUGCUACAGCCUGUGCUUGUAUCUCAGGAUUUUUAAGCAUAGAAAGAGUAAACUUACAAUGUCUACCAAAAAGAAGCUUUACAUACCACGAUUUGGUUCGCAGUGUUCACAGGGGUCCGGCUACAGCAUUUCAUUGAAUCCCAGUCAAUCUACCGAACUCGUAUACAAGGAGGUGCCCGACGGCCAAAAAUCGUCAAAGAAAAAUGGGGUCAUUGCCAAUGCACAAGUCAGCCCAACUCUUGGAUUAAGGGCGACGCAAACGGGAGUAAAGAAAACUAAACGGGUUAAUAGAAAGAAACAAUUGUGCCCAGAAACAACUAGCGAAACAUCCAGAGAAAAAGAAACACCUCACAGCUCCUCUGCUUCCUUCGUUUCUGAAGGGAUGUCUGAUAACACAGAAGAGGACAUUUUCAGUUUCAUUGACAGAGACCCCCCUCCGACACCCAAUAAAAAAUCAUUGGCAAAGCAGAGUGUCCUGAGGACCAUUGCAAAGAUGCUGCAAGAGAACAGGCUCAUCAGGAGGAGAUUGGUGACCCUUACCCAGCAAAGGCAAUCAGAGGCGUGAUUGAGGAGAUAUGAGGAACAGACAGCAUCAAAACGGGGUCAAACUCAUUUCCCAUCAAGGGCAACUGGUUGUACACAGUUUUAACCAGCAGAGGGAGUCCUCUACAAAGGUUUUUCUCGGCUUGUGUGAUACUCUGCUCUCUACAGGUUUGUGAGUGUGGUGCUGACAGAGUUGGUGUUAGUGUUGAUUUUUUGCUUUUAGUGUUGUUCUAAGCCAGUGGUUCUCAACCUUUUUCGAACAACCGCCCCCUGGACCUCAUCCUAAACCUCUCGACACCCCCUUGACCUCAUCAUAAUCCUGCCAACACCCCCCUUAGUGUUAAGAUAUUAAAUGGACUAAUGCCCUCAAUGAUAACUAAGCACCGCCCCCUCUCAACUGUAUCCUUCUCCAUGCCCCCCUAGGGCUCCCCAAAGCCCCCGUUUAGGAACACUAUUGUAAGCCCAAGGUUCCUCUUGAUUUCUAUGGGUGUGACAUGCGGAAGGCAGUCUCAGAUUCUGCAAGGUAUCUAAACCCACACGCAAAAGCGUGCACGACUGACAAUGUCUUAC